Triticum urartu is the source of this 65-nucleotide non-coding RNA. Lineage: Eukaryota; Viridiplantae; Streptophyta; Magnoliopsida; Poales; Poaceae. The record is from Rfam.
AUCCUUGCGCUUGGGGCAAUGACGCAGCUAGUGAAGUUAUACCGAGGCGCGUCAAUUGCUGGUUC